Molecule: ribosomal RNA, 311 nt
Filed under: uncultured Tomentella
Lineage: Eukaryota; Fungi; Basidiomycota; Agaricomycetes; Thelephorales; Thelephoraceae
Description: eukaryotic LSU rRNA
Source: RNAcentral
ACGCACCUUGCGCCCCUCGGCUAUUCCUUGGGGCAUGCCUGUUUGAGUAUCAAGAACACCUCAACUCUCAUGGUUUGCCAUGAAGAGCUUGGACUCUGGGGGCUUGCUGGCCAUCUGGUUGGCUCCCCUCAAAUGAAUCAGCUUGCCAGUGUUUGGUGGCAUCACGGGUGUGAUAACUAUCUACGCUUGUGGUUGGCCACCAGGUAACCUUUGUCACUGAGGGUUCACUGGAGCUUACAAACGUCUCUCCUUAGCGAAGACAGCUUUUGAACGUUCGAUCUCAAAUCAGGUAGGACUACCCGCUGAACUUA